GUAUCAUUGCCCAAGAGGUUGCUGGUGAUGUUCGUAUGACUGAUACCAGAGCUGAUGAGGCAGAACGUGGUAUCACUAUUAAGUCCACUGGUAUCUCUCUCUACUACGAGAUGACUGAUGCUUCCCUUAAGAGUUUCACUGGAGCCAGAGAUGGCAACGAAUACCUCAUCAACCUUAUCGAUUCACCUGGGCACGUUGACUUUUCUUCUGAGGUUACUGCUGCUCUCCGUAUUACUGAUGGUGCUCUUGUCGUGGUCGACUGCAUUGAGGGUGUCUGUGUUCAGACUGAGACUGUUUUACGUCAGGCUCUUGGUGAGAGGAUUCGACCUGUCUUGACUGUCAACAAGAUGGACAGAUGUUUCCUUGAGCUUCAGGUUGAUGGUGAGGAGGCUUACCAGACUUUCUCGAGGGUCAUUGAGAAUGCUAAUGUCAUCAUGGCUACAUAUGAGGAUCCUCUCCUUGGUGAUGUUCAAGUUUAUCCUGAGAAAGGAACUGUUGCGUUUUCUGCUGGUCUCCAUGGUUGGGCGUUUACACUUACCAACUUUGCCAAGAUGUAUGCUUCCAAGUNNNNNNNNNNGGUUGGGCGUUUACACUUACCAACUUUGCCAAGAUGUAUGCUUCCAAGUUUGGUGUUGAUGAAUCUAAGAUGAUGGAGCGACUCUGGGGCGAGAAUUUCUUUGACCCAGCCACCAGGAAAUGGACAACCAAAAACACUGGUUCAGCAACCUGCAAGCGUGGAUUUGUCCAGUUCUGCUNNNNNNNNNNAACCAAUCAAGCAAAUCAUCGCUACUUGCAUGAAUGACCAGAAGGACAAGUUAUGGCCUAUGUUGCAGAAGCUUGGUGUCCAGAUGAAGAAUGAUGAGAAGGAGCUGGUGGCUAAACCUUUGAUGAAGCGUGUUAUGCAGACGUGGCUCCCUGCUAGUACUGCACUACUUGAGAUGAUGAUCUUCCAUUUGC
This 957-nucleotide long non-coding RNA is filed under the name Capsella grandiflora. Its description in RNAcentral is "long non-coding RNA (CGRA_LNC000510)". The record is from RNAcentral. Lineage: Eukaryota; Viridiplantae; Streptophyta; Magnoliopsida; Brassicales; Brassicaceae.